Molecule: long non-coding RNA, 399 nt
Organism: Pseudophryne corroboree (corroboree frog)
Lineage: Eukaryota; Metazoa; Chordata; Amphibia; Anura; Myobatrachidae
Exons: 4
Source: RefSeq, a predicted model, not a curated record
AGAGAGACAAGUAUUUAUUUGUGCUUACUCGCUAUUUCUUUUUGGAGAUAUCUGAAUAACAUCCUAAUAUAUCUGAAUAACAUCUGGAUAAGAAGCUCUUAUAUAAGAGACAGAAGAUCCAUCUCAGCAAUGGAGGUUUUUCAUAAGGCGCUGUUUGUGGCCCUGGGCUCAUGUGCCCUCUGCAUGCUGUGCCUAUUCUUGCACACUCUGUGGGGUUGCAUAACACACAGAGGAACACAAAUAUCAAUAGAUGAUAUCGAAUGGGAUGCUGCUUUUGAGCAAGAUCAGGAGGCAACACCAGAUGAGGAGGCAACACCACCAUAAAUACCACCAAAAAGCCUUGGAAUACCACCAUUGAUAUCAGAAGUUAUUCUAAAACUAAAACCUGGGGAUUAGGGC